CGGGGUGCACCAGGCGCGAAAACUCUACAAUGCAGGCAACUGCGAUAGGGGAACAUCGAGUGGUCCUCAUAUUGGGGGUCUGUCCCACCGUCUAAAAAACGGUGGUUAGCAAGGGCCGGGCAAGACCGGUGCCAGCCGCCGCGGUAAUACCGGCGGCUCGAGUGGUGGCCGAUAUUAUUGAGUCUAAAGGGUCCGUAGCCGGCUUUGCAAGUCUCUCGGGAAAUCCAGCGGCUUAACCGUUGGUCGUCCGGGGGGUACUACAUUGCUUGGGACUGGGAGAGGUAGGAGGUACUCAGGGGGUAGGAGUGAAAUCCUGUAAUCCUCUGGGGACCACCGGUGGCGAAGGCGUCCUACCAGAACAGGUCCGACGGUGAGGGACGAAAGCUAGGGGCACGAACCGGAUUAGAUACCCGGGUAGUCCUAGCCGUAAACGAUGCUCGCUAGGUGUCACAACAGUCGUGAACUGUUGUGGUGCCGUAGGGAAGCCGUGAAGCGAGCCACUUGGGAAGUACGACCGCAAGGUUGAAACUUAAAGGAAUUGGCGGGGGAGCACAAGGGCGAUUCGCG
This 567-nucleotide ribosomal RNA is filed under the name uncultured archaeon. Its description in RNAcentral is "bacterial SSU rRNA". It matches the Rfam family "Archaeal small subunit ribosomal RNA", at positions 326 to 897 of the family's 1478-position model. The record is from RNAcentral.